RNAcentral lists this ribosomal RNA (207 nucleotides) under uncultured bacterium. RNAcentral describes it as "partial 16S ribosomal RNA". It matches the Rfam family "Bacterial small subunit ribosomal RNA", at positions 568 to 774 of the family's 1533-position model. The record is from RNAcentral.
CGCGCAGGCGGUCGUUCAAGUCGCGUGUGAAAGCCCCCGGCUCAACUGGGGAGGGUCACGCGAUACUGAUCGACUCGAAGGCAGGAGAGGGUAGUGGAAUUCCCGGUGUAGUGGUGAAAUGCGUAGAUAUCGGGAGGAACACCAGUGGCGAAGGCGACUACCUGGCCUGUUCUUGACGCUGAGGCGCGAAAGCUAGGGAGGCAAACG